CCUGCCCAAGAGAUCGGGAUAACACCUGGAAACAGAUGCUAAUACCGGAUAACAAUAGAUGAUGCCUAUCAACUGUUUAAAAGAUGGUUCUGCUAUCACUCUUGGAUGGACCUGCGGUGCAUUAGCUAGUUGGUAGGGUAACGGCCUGCCAAGGCGAUGAUGCAUAGCCGAGUUGAGAGACUGAUCGGCCACAUUGGGACUGAGACACGGCCCAAACUCCUACGGGAGGCAGCAGCC
RNAcentral lists this ribosomal RNA (237 nucleotides) under uncultured Lactobacillus sp. Its description in RNAcentral is "partial 16S ribosomal RNA". It matches the Rfam family "Bacterial small subunit ribosomal RNA", at positions 125 to 355 of the family's 1533-position model. The record is from RNAcentral. Lineage: Bacteria; Bacillati; Bacillota; Bacilli; Lactobacillales; Lactobacillaceae.